Molecule: long non-coding RNA, 366 nt
Organism: Parus major (Great Tit)
Lineage: Eukaryota; Metazoa; Chordata; Aves; Passeriformes; Paridae
Exons: 3
Source: RefSeq, a predicted model, not a curated record
GAGUAAACAGCCCAGACCACGCAGUAUCUGCCAAACAGGGCGAGGGAAGAACAGCCACGUUUCCUGUUGCUGGAAGGCCCUGUUGUCAUAUCCUUACCCAGCUAUUUUUAAUUAAUUUUGGCUUUCUUCAUGUGGCUAAAGCACGAGCUGUGAGCAGAGAAGUGACCACCAGCCCUUACCCUGGGCCUGCUCCAUGGAAGGACAAAGGUCUGAAGAGUCUUCACCCCGCUCCCAGCCCACUGGCAGGACAGUGCAGGGUUCCUGGCAGCAGUUUCUCAUUGUGGGCAUUGGUUUCCUCAACAAUUUUGGCUAGACUAGAGGUCCCCUGCACCUGUGCCUGGGAGGUGGAAUGGCCCCAGUGCAGCA